RNAcentral lists this ribosomal RNA (499 nucleotides) under uncultured bacterium. Its description in RNAcentral is "partial 16S ribosomal RNA". It matches the Rfam family "Bacterial small subunit ribosomal RNA", at positions 28 to 523 of the family's 1533-position model. The record is from RNAcentral.
GAUGAACGCUAGCGGCAGGCCUAAUACAUGCAAGUCGAGGGGCAGCAGGAAUAGCAAUAUUCGCUGGCGACCGGCGCACGGGUGCGUAACACGUAUACAAUCUGCCUUUAACAGGGGGAUAGCCCGGAGAAAUCCGGAUUAAUACCCCAUAACCGUGAUCUUGGCAUCAAGGACACUUAAAAGCUCCGGCGGUUAAAGAUGAGUAUGCGUCUGAUUAGCUAGUUGGUGAAGUAACGGCUCACCAAGGCGACGAUCAGUAGGGGAUCUGAGAGGAUUAACCCCCAAACGGAUACAGAGACACGGAUCCGACUCCUACGGGAGGCAGCAGUAAGGAAUAUUGGACAAUGCCCGCAAGGGUGAUCCAGCCAUGCCGCGUGCAGGACGACGGCCCUAUGGGUUGUAAACUGCUUUUACACCUGAGAAAACCCCACUACGUGUAGUGGGCUGAUAGUAUGGUGAGAAUAAGCAUCGGCUAACUUCGUGCCAGCAGCCGCCGUAA